This 463-nucleotide ribosomal RNA is filed under the name uncultured bacterium. RNAcentral describes it as "partial 16S ribosomal RNA". It matches the Rfam family "Bacterial small subunit ribosomal RNA", at positions 28 to 507 of the family's 1533-position model. The record is from RNAcentral.
GAUGAACGCUGACAGAAUGCUUAACACAUGCAAGUCGAUGGGGAAGUGGUGCUUGCACCAUGGUAACCAUGGCGGACGGGUGAGUAACGCGUAAGGAACUUGCCUGCGGGACUGGGAUAACAGCAGGAAACUGCUGAUAAUACCGGAUAAGGUCAUUAAGCUGCAUAGCUUAGUGAUGAAAGGAGACGCCUGCGGAGAGCCUUGCGUCCUAUUAGCUAGUUGGAGGGGUAACGGCCCACCAAGGCGAAGAUAGGUAGCCGGCCUGAGAGGGUGGACGGCCAAAAGGGGGCUGGGAAACGGCCCUUAAUACUACGGGAAGCAGGAGUGGGGAAAAAUGGACAAAGGGGGCAACCCUGAACCAGGAAUUCUGUGUGGAAGAAGAAGGUUUUCGGAAUGUAAAGUGCUUUCAGCAGGGAAGAAGGAAGUGACGGUACCUGCAGAAGAAGCGACGGCUAAAUACGUG